Molecule: ribosomal RNA, 433 nt
Filed under: uncultured bacterium
Lineage: Bacteria
Description: partial 16S ribosomal RNA
Rfam family: Bacterial small subunit ribosomal RNA
Source: RNAcentral
AACGAACGCUGGCGGCAGGCCUAACACAUGCAAGUCGAGCGAGGACUUCGGUUCUAGCGGCGGACGGGUGAGUAACGCGUGGGAAUGUGCCCUUCUCUACGGAAUAGCCCUGGGAAACUGGGAGUAAUACCGUAUACGCCCUAUUGGGGAAAGAUUUAUCGGAGAAGGAUCAGCCCGCGUUGGAUUAGGUAGUUGGUGGGGUAAUGGCCUACCAAGCCGACGAUCCAUAGCUGGUUUGAGAGGAUGAUCAGCCACACUGGGACUGAGACACGGCCCAGACUCCUACGGGAGGCAGCAGUGGGGAAGCUUAGACAAUGGGGGCAACCCUGAUCUAGCCAUGCCGCGUGAGUGAUGAAGGCCUUAGGGUUGUAAAGCUCUUUCAGCUGGGAAGAUAAUGACGGUACCAGCAGAAGAAGCCCCGGCUAACUCCGUG